Molecule: non-coding RNA, 1137 nt
Organism: Propithecus coquereli (Coquerel's sifaka)
Lineage: Eukaryota; Metazoa; Chordata; Mammalia; Primates; Indriidae
Source: the annotation of a RefSeq genome assembly
AGAAGAGAACCCAGAUCAGAGCAGGAGACUUUUCACCCUGCAGGUGAACGCUGUCAGCAUGACACUUGCUAGCUGGCUGUGGGCAGUCGUGGUCUCCACCUGUCUUGGAUCCAGUGUGGCCCAGACAGUCACUCAAUCUCAACCAGAGAUGUCUGUGCAGGAAGCAGGGACGGUGACCCUGGACUGCACAUAUGCCACUAGCGACAGUAAUUAUUAUUUGUUCUGGUACAAGCAGCCUCCCAGCAGGCAGAUGAUUCUCAUUAUUCGCCAAGAAGCUUAUAAGCAACAAAAUGCAACAGAGAAUCGCUUCUCAGUGAACUUCCAGAAAGCAGCCAAAUCCUUCAGUCUCGAGAUCUCAGACUCACAGCUGGAGGAUGCUGCGAUGUAUUUCUGUGCUUUCAUGACAAAGAAAUCCAACUAUCGGUUGAUCUGGGGCACUGGGACCAAGCUAAUUAUAAAGCCAGAUAUCCAGGACCCUGACCCCGCCGUGUACCAGCUGAAAGACUCUAAAUUCGGGAACACCUCCCUCUGCCUAUUCACUGAUUUUGCUUCUGAAGCAAAUAUGUCCCAAGUCAAGGAAUCUGAAGUGUUCGUCUCAGAAAAAACUGUGCUGGACAUGAGGUCCAUGGAUUCCAAGAGCAAUGGUGCCUUAGCCUGGAGCAACAAACCCGAUUUUGCAUGUGCAGACACCUUCAAGGAGGACAAAGUCUACUCCAACUCAGAAUUUCCCUGUGAUGCCACGUUGGUACAGAAAAGCUUUGAAACAGAUAUGAACCUAAACUUUCAAAACCUGUCAGUGAUUGGGCUCCGCAUCCUCCUCCUGAAAGUGGCCGGAUUUAAUCUGCUCAUGACGCUGCGGCUGUGGUCCAGCUGAGGUCUGCAAGACCAUAGGAGCCCGUGCUCCCUCACUCCCUGCUCCGCAUCGCCCUCCUCCCCCUCUUCCCGCAGAGGGAGUGCUCCCAGUCCAGGAGAAGAAGACUCCCACCUCCUCUCAGGGCCCCUGCAAUGCCUCAGACAAGAUCCUGCCUGAAUUAGUGACGAAGGUUGCUGAGGAGCUGCCAAGCACUGCUGCCCUGUGCUCUGUCCCCUGUUGCUGCUUGUCACUGCCUGACACCCACGGCAGGGGCAGGGCUGCUG